Merops nubicus (carmine bee-eater) is the source of this 1298-nucleotide RNA transcript. It is a transcript of the gene named zinc finger protein 652 pseudogene, with no coding region annotated. The record is from RefSeq and is a predicted model, not a curated record. NCBI's taxonomy places the organism in Eukaryota, Metazoa, Chordata, Aves, Coraciiformes, Meropidae. The transcript has a single exon.
UGUUCAACAGCUCGUCGACAGCUUUCUCCAGAAGAAUAAUUACUACUGCUCUGCUCUUGCCAUAGUACCAGAAUUCUGUGACCUACGCACCAGUGCUGAACCAGCAGAGUCGCGUUCUGUCCCUUCUGUGUAGAUGGAACGGGCGUCGCUCUGGGGAGCCCCUCCUGAUUUAAAGCUGCUUACUUGUUUUUUUUGGGAUUAAAGGUGCUCGAUGAAUCAGGGCCCCCCAAAUGAGUCAAACGGCCAAUUCCUGCCAGCAGUUGGUUGAAAACUGCCCCGCGCACGUGGCGGGGAUGGCCCAGGAGGACAGUCGCCGGGGUCAAGUGCCACCCACCUUCUAUCACGGUGCCAGCCAGGAACUCGACCUGUCCACCAAAGUGUACAAGAGAGAGUCAGGAAGUCCUUACUCUGUGCUGGUGGACAGCAAAAUGAGUAAACCACACCUCCAUGAAAGAGAGGAGCAGCCAUAUUUCAGGGAGAACAGAUCGGUAGGAGAGGUCCGGGCUGUGAAAGAAGAUAGAGAAAACUCUGACGACUCUGAGGAGGAAGAAGAGGAGGAAGAUGAAGUGACUUACAAAAGGGAGCAGAUUAUAGUAGAGGUAAACCUUAACAACCAAACCUUAAAUGUAUCAAAAGGGGAGAAGGGUGUCCCCUCCCAGUCCAAAGAGACUGCUGUUCUUAAGACCAGCAGUGAGGAAGAGGAGGGUGAGAGUGGGGAAGAGGCCACUGAAGACAGUGAUGAUUAUGAGGAAAUUGAGAGGCAGAAGAAAAAAGAGAAAAGAGUGGAAAAAGUUAGUGUUGCACAAAGGAGAACAAGGAGAGCUGCAUCUGCUGCAGCAGCCACAACUUCCCCAUCACCCAGAACUACAAGGGGUCGUAGCAAGAGUGUGGAGCCCCCCAAGCGUAAGAAGAAAGCUGCAAAGGAGCCCAAGGCACCUGUGCAGAAAUCAAAGUGUGAAGAGAAGGAGACUUUAACCUGUGAGAAGUGCCCCAGGGUGUUUAACACACGCUGGUACCUGGAGAAGCACAUGAACGUCACUCACAGGCGCAUGCAGAUCUGCGACAAAUGUGGGAAGAAAUUUGUUCUAGAAAGUGAGCUGUCCCUUCACCAGCAAACAGACUGUGAAAAAAAUAUCCAGGUAGGUUUGCUCACCUGCUUGCCAGAUUUCCAUACCUUCUGUCGUGCCCUGGAUACAGCUAGUGGACACUUCAGAGGGGGAAAUCUUUUGCGCAGACCAGGUCCUGACCGAGACCUUGUCUCUACGUAUCAACACUUUGGUGUCUUCCAAGAGAAGUGA